AACGAACGCUGGCGGCAUGCCUAACACAUGCAAGUCGAACGAGACCUUCGGGUCUAGUGGCGCACGGGUGCGUAACGCGUGGGAACCUGCCCUUAGGUUCGGAAUAACUCCCCGAAAGGGGUGCUAAUACCGGAUAAUGUCUUCGGACCAAAGAUUUAUCGCCUUUGGAUGGGCCCGCGUUGGAUUAGCUAGUUGGUAGGGUAAAAGCCUACCAAGGCGACGAUCCAUAGCUGGUCUGAGAGGAUGAUCAGCCACACUGGGACUGAGACACGGCCCAGACCCCUACGGGGGGCAGCAGGGGGGAAUAGUGGGAAAUGGGCGAAAGCCUGAUCCAGCAAUGCCGGGUGAGGGAUGAAGGCCUUAGGGUUGUAAAGCUCUUUUACCCGGGAUGAUAAUGACAGUACCGGGAGAAAAAGCCCCGGCUAACCCCG
This 431-nucleotide ribosomal RNA is filed under the name uncultured bacterium. RNAcentral describes it as "partial 16S ribosomal RNA". It matches the Rfam family "Bacterial small subunit ribosomal RNA", at positions 29 to 505 of the family's 1533-position model. The record is from RNAcentral.